CUUGUCCAUCGGUUCUGAUGAGCGGCAACACCAUAGCAGGCUUCAGGAUGAUGGACAUGUUUGGCCUGGUAGAGAAGGAGUACAGUAACGUAGAGGGAGUGUCCCUGGAACCAGGCUCCUUCAACAGCUUCCCCUGCUACAGACUGCGCAAAGAUGCCCUGGUCUCACAGCCCACCAAGUACCUCCACCCAGAAGGUUUGCCCUCUGACUACACCAUCACCAUCCUGUUCCGCCU
Molecule: long non-coding RNA, 235 nt
Organism: Oncorhynchus masou masou (cherry salmon)
Lineage: Eukaryota; Metazoa; Chordata; Actinopteri; Salmoniformes; Salmonidae
Exons: 3
Source: RefSeq, a predicted model, not a curated record